Molecule: long non-coding RNA, 1812 nt
Organism: Vespa crabro (European hornet)
Lineage: Eukaryota; Metazoa; Arthropoda; Insecta; Hymenoptera; Vespidae
Exons: 2
Source: RefSeq, a predicted model, not a curated record
UUGUUUUUUGUUAGCGACGAUGGUGCAAGACUGGAAAAUUCUACUAACAAUUUUCUUUGGUAAGAAAGUAAAAGUUGUUCUUCCUGUAUUGCGUCUACAACUUGUCUUUCAUAUAUUAGUAAUAUAUACAAACACGAUCUCACCCAUUCUCUCUUUCUCUUUCUUUUUUCCUUUUUCUCUCAUUGGCACAUUCGCUUACCUAGUCAUUCACUUAUGUACACAUAGUCUUUAUGUAUGGUAAUAGUGUCGUAUAUAUUUAAAACCCAGUCGUACUUCCGAGUUCAGAUAAAUCAGAGUUUAAGCAUUGCCGAAGAUUUCUCUUCCUAUAACUCGAUUUUAUCAAAUUAUUAUUUAUCAUCUUUUUUUCUCACUUUUUUUACGGAAAUUCUCAGCGAGAUUUCUUAUGCCUGUUUUUUUCUUUUAAUUAAAAAAGAAUCAUUAUAGCAGGAGUCAGCCAUUGAUAAGCAAGAACAAGAAUCUUCACAAAUAAGGCAGGAUCACCUUGAACUCAUCGUAUUCAUUAUAUUCUCCUUUAAAUUUUUCUUUUUUUGACCAUCAUAAAAUGAAAAAAUGGCUUAACGCUAAGCCUUGGUUUUAUGCACCGUGAAUAGACAUUUACUCAGUUGACAUUUUGACACCGUGGAUAGACAUUUACCCAGUUUGAUCGAUUAACUUUUUUUUAUUUUCAGCCGAAGAAAAGUCUCCAUUUUUCUCUCUCUCUUUCCUUUCUCUUUCUUUUCGUCUCUUUUAAAUCGUAGAUCUAAUAGAUUUGUAAUGUAAUUAAGGAGUUCAAUCGUAUAAGUUACAUCAUCGAGUAUACUAGGUCAAAAUCGAUUUGACUUUCCAAUUACUCAGCAUACUUGAAGUUUCAUGAGAAGGCAGGGACAAUCAUAGCAUGCGACGUGUUUAGAAAGUAAUCUACUUGGAGAAGAACGCUCGCGUAUUACUGGCAACACAGCAACACCGUGGCCUGGUGAACUCGACGAUAACGAACGUGAAUUUAGUCGUGGUCUGGUUAACCGUUACUAAUUAUUUAUUUUCUCUCGUAUUUCUUUCUCUUUUUUUCCCUUCUCUUAAUGAAUUCUUUUGUCUAAACAAAUUCUGUUGAAACAAAAAUAAAACGACCGUCUGUAUUCCCCUGAGAAAAAUGUCAAGUCUUCCAUAAUGGUGAACUCUCGAACCGUUGAGAGAGGCGAUUGUCCUAGACGCCGCAUGCGGUCGUACAACUUUCUCGCGUGCGGAAUUACAGACGCGGAAGAAGGUUGAAAGUACUUGUAGCUUCGAGUGCUGCGAUAUCAGCGAUGCAUCGACAGUACACCUAGGAUCGUUGCCUCGUGAGGUUCAUAUUUGUUUUUAUCGAGGGAACUUUUCUCACAACACCUUUACGAUAGUUCUUCACACUUGAGUUCUUCAACUUUAACAUAAAGCCUCAAGGUUAGGAAAAUCCGGAACAUUUCGCUAUAAAUCAUAGUGAAUAAUGCAUUUUCAUUAUAUACAGCUCGUAAUCAUGAUUGCCACGUCUCCGUUUUCAGUCCGGAGAUUUACAAUUUUUUAAUUAAUAAAUUUUUGGCGUCCACCGGUUUUAUAAGAAAAAUUUUUCAGAUUGUAAUAAUCUUACUUUCGUUAUUCUCAAAACUCUAAGAUACAAUAAAAGUUUAAAAUUAUUAUUUUUUCUUUUUUUUUAAAUAAUUCUUAAUACGAAAUGUGAUUUAAUAAUUACGUCAUUAUCUUUCUGCAAUGAGGAUAUUUUUUUCAUACAUUUUUGCUGACAAAUAUUAAAAUUUUGUUUCUGUAAUAAAUGAUUUACCAAUA